This 685-nucleotide ribosomal RNA is filed under the name uncultured Lachnospiraceae bacterium. RNAcentral's name for it is "bacterial SSU rRNA". It matches the Rfam family "Bacterial small subunit ribosomal RNA", at positions 52 to 737 of the family's 1533-position model. The record is from RNAcentral. Lineage: Bacteria; Bacillati; Bacillota; Clostridia; Lachnospirales; Lachnospiraceae.
CACAUGCAAGUCGAGCGAAGCACUUAAGUGGAUCUCUUCGGAUUGAAACUUAUUUGACUGAGCGGCGGACGGGUGAGUAACGCGUGGGUAACCUGCCUCAUACAGGGGGAUAACAGUUAGAAAUGGCUGCUAAUACCGCAUAAGCGCACAGGACCGCAUGGUCUGGUGUGAAAAACUCCGGUGGUAUGAGAUGGACCCGCGUCUGAUUAGCUAGUUGGAGGGGUAACGGCCCACCAAGGCGACGAUCAGUAGCCGGCCUGAGAGGGUGAACGGCCACAUUGGGACUGAGACACGGCCCAGACUCCUACGGGAGGCAGCAGUGGGGAAUAUUGCACAAUGGGGGAAACCCUGAUGCAGCGACGCCGCGUGAAGGAAGAAGUAUCUCGGUAUGUAAACUUCUAUCAGCAGGGAAGAAAAUGACGGUACCUGACUAAGAAGCCCCGGCUAACUACGUGCCAGCAGCCGCGGUAAUACGUAGGGGGCAAGCGUUAUCCGGAUUUACUGGGUGUAAAGGGAGCGUAGACGGAAGAGCAAGUCUGAUGUGAAAGGCUGGGGCUUAACCCCAGGACUGCAUUGGAAACUGUUUUUCUAGAGUGCCGGAGAGGUAAGCGGAAUUCCUAGUGUAGCGGUGAAAUGCGUAGAUAUUAGGAGGAACAUCAGUGGCGAAGGCGGCUUACUGGACGGU